UUCUGUGGUGAGUCCUGUUUGUGUUGUCGACCAAGGUGGCUACGUUUUUUUUAAUUUUCUCCGACAAUAAUCAUUAAAUAAGAGAAACGCAUCGGUCACUCGAAUAUAACGUUCCGAGAAUUCAAAUUAGACGACCGCGGUCCUACUCAGGCUCUUGACGAUGUCACGCUACCGCGAAUGGGACCUUUCUUGCAAGGUGUACGUCGGCAAUUUGGGCUCGUCGGCCAGCAAACACGAAAUCGAGAGCGCGUUCAGCAAAUUCGGGCCUCUGAGAAAUGUAUGGGUGGCGAGAAAUCCACCGGGCUUCGCGUUUGUGGAAUUCGAAGAUCCCCGGGACGCGGAGGACGCGGUUAGAGGCUUGGACGGCACUCGUUGCUGUGGAGUGAGGGUGAGAGUAGAGAUGUCCAGCGGAAGGUCGCGAAGAGGUGGAGGCAGACGGGGACCGUCGCGAUAUUCGAGAGACAGGGUCACCCGGUCGUUGCUCUACUACUACCUUCACCCCCCUUGAGUCAACACAUCUCCCAACCCCCCAAAGGCCUUCUCAACAACACAUCUUGUUCAUCAAAAUCAACCACCAACAAAAACACCACCCGGGUCGCACCAAAAAAAAUCCGUCAGCCCUUAGCGGUACCGACCCCCGGCCAAACAGGCAAUUUAACAACAACGGCCGCUAAAAAUUACCAAGCGGGCCGAGUCAUCAGCUUUACAAAUUCAAUGCAAUUCUACCACCACCACCACCACUACUACGGCCCGGCUUCUAGUCCAACCUCAUCUCCGCAACGACGGAGGAAGCCGUCCGGUGGGAUAUUUUCAAGUUUUUUUUGGGGCCUUAAUCGAAAAGGGUCGAGGUCUCCGAGACGGUCGAGGUCUAGGUCCCGUUCGAGGAGCCGUGGCAGGGACUCUCGUGAUAGGAGCGAUUCACGAGACAGACGUUAAAUGAUAACCUUGAUUGCUUAAACAAACGUAUUAUUAAGUUUAAUCAUCAUUUGUGGCGCGACAGCGCCCUCGGAUUUUGUGAUCAAUAAUAUUAUACAAUUUUUUUUUUUGGCACAUAUUUUUAAGGUUAUACCUAUUUUGUCCAAAAUAAUUGAGUCGGAUUGUCCUAUCGAGAUGACCGGUUUUACUUUAUACGCGAGGCGGUGUUCGCCAAGAGACUAACGCAUAUUUCUGUAGGUUUCAUCUUGUUUUGUAUUUUAUUUUAAGAGCAGAACAAUAAAAU
Molecule: RNA transcript, 1219 nt
Organism: Cylas formicarius (sweet potato weevil)
Lineage: Eukaryota; Metazoa; Arthropoda; Insecta; Coleoptera; Brentidae
Gene name: RNA-binding protein 1-like
Exons: 5
Source: RefSeq, a predicted model, not a curated record